This 253-nucleotide ribosomal RNA is filed under the name uncultured bacterium. RNAcentral describes it as "partial 16S ribosomal RNA". It matches the Rfam family "Bacterial small subunit ribosomal RNA", at positions 524 to 776 of the family's 1533-position model. The record is from RNAcentral.
UACGAACCGUGCGAACGUUGUUCGGAAUCACUGGGCUUAAAGGGCGCGUAGGCGGGCCGGCCGGUCCGGGGUGAAAUCCCCCCGCUCAACGGGGGAACGGCCCCGGACACCGCCGGCCUCGAGGGGGGUAGGGGCGAGCGGAACGCUGGGUGGAGCGGUGAAAUGCGUUGAUAUCCAGCGGAACUCCGGUGGCGAAGGCGGCUCGCUGGGCCCUCUCUGACGCUGAGGCGCGAAAGCCAGGGGAGCGAACGGG